Molecule: ribosomal RNA, 499 nt
Filed under: uncultured bacterium
Lineage: Bacteria
Description: bacterial SSU rRNA
Rfam family: Bacterial small subunit ribosomal RNA
Source: RNAcentral
UCAGGAUGAACGCUAGCGACAGGCCUAACACAUGCAAGUCAGGGGCAGCACAAGGAGCAAUCUGAGGUGGCGACCGGCGCACGGGUGAGUAACACGUAUGCAACCUGCCUGUAAGCGGGGAAUAACCCGUUGAAAGACGGACUAAUACCGCAUAAUACUAAAUUACUGCAUGGUAAUUUAUUUAAACAUUUAUGGCUUACAGAUGGGCAUGCGCAUGAUUAGCUAGUUGGAGAGGUAACGGCUCCCCAAGGCAACGAUCAUUAGGGGUUCUGAGAGGAAGGUCCCCCACACUGGUACUGAGACACGGACCAGACUCCUACGGGAGGCAGCAGUGAGGAAUAUUGGUCAAUGGACGAGAGUCUGAACCAGCCAAGUCGCGUGCAGGAAGAAUUGUCCUAUGGAUUGUAAACUGCUUUUGCAGGGGAAUAAAGUGCAUCACGUGUGAUGUUUUGUAUGUACUCUGCGAAUAAGGAUCGGCUAACUCCGUGCCAGCCGCCGC